UAACCAAGCAGCACUGAGAUUACGGAAGCCGAAGCUUGGUAGCUGCGCAAGCCCCGUAGCGAAUGGAAUCGCGUAUAUGAAGGAUGUAAUGGAUUCCAAACCCAUAUGAAUAGGCUUGGUUGCUGAUAUGUCAUCUCCACAUAGCAUUUUUUCGGAAAGUCUUUCUGGGACGCCAAGCCCAGAACAAGUGCAGGAUAGCCCACCCCAAUCAGCCACUACAAGUCAUAGACCGUCCCAAACCAUGCAGCCAAGAAAAAGGUCAAGGAAAAAUGCUGCACCCUCAAAACCUUCCAAAAAGACUCUUUCCUAGGACUGUAUCCACCUUUUCCAGCCCACCGGAGCACCUGAAAGCUGAACUAAUAUACGCAGGAUAAGUCAUCAACUGCCGAGCCGAGAAGUUCGUGACGAAUCGAAUUUACUUGGAGUUGGUACAAAAGCAUUGGCGUUCCUUACGCGACAGCUAUUUCAAGCAUCUUCGGGACACCAACCUUCCUAGUGGCUCUGGGGCUAAGAAUUCAGCAUACAAACAUGCAGAUUGUCAUUUCUGCACAAAAUUCAAGAAUUGAGAACAACUACUUCAAAUACUGGUGUACAACAAGCAACAACCAAUGUUGAAGAAGUGCAGAUUGAAAGGCAACAGGGGGAAGAGAGUGCUUCACAGCCCGAAGCAAAUGUCACAAGUGGGCUGCGUAUUAAAGGGGUACUCCGGU
Molecule: long non-coding RNA, 710 nt
Organism: Hyla sarda
Lineage: Eukaryota; Metazoa; Chordata; Amphibia; Anura; Hylidae
Exons: 7
Source: RefSeq, a predicted model, not a curated record